Molecule: ribosomal RNA, 3199 nt
Filed under: Candidatus Nealsoniibacteriota bacterium
Lineage: Bacteria; Candidatus Nealsoniibacteriota
Description: bacterial LSU rRNA
Rfam family: Bacterial large subunit ribosomal RNA
Source: RNAcentral
AAUUAAAAAGUAGGGCUCGGGGUUGUAAGACAACAACGCGGCAAAAGCCGGAAGAGUUACCAAACAGUCGGUUAGUCGAAAACGCUGGGAAGCGUUGCCCCAGAGGGUAAUAGCCCCGUAGACGAAAACUGAACUGUCUCUUUAGUUGUUGAUCUUGAGUACCUCGGGACAUGAAUAGCCCGGGGGAAGCAGGGAGGACUAACUCCCAAGGCUAAAUACUCUUAGAGAUCGAUAGUGAACAAGUACCGUGAGGGAAAGGUGAAAAGAACCCCGGCGAGGGGAGUGAAAUAGAUCUGAAACCAUACGUUUACAAGGAGUCGAUGAGGGCGCAUCACACGGUGUGUGAUCUUCAGCUAUCAGCUGUAAGCUCAUAGCUUUUAGGAAUUCCCUGAAAGCUGACAGCUAAAAGCUAAAAGCUGAUUUAUCGCGCUUCGCGCGAUGCGUCCUCUACGGCGUGCCUAUCGUAGAAUGAGCCAACGAGUUUAUCUGAUUCCUUUGUCUAAAAGGUUAAACCCUUGAAGGCACAGCGAAAGCGAGUGUUAAUAGCGCGUUAUUGAGGGAUCGGAUAAGACCCGAAACCGGGUGAGCUUACCAUGGGCAGGGUGAACUCCGGCGAGAGCCGUAGGGAGGCCCGAACCGAAUGGCCGUACAAAACCAUCGGAUGACCUGUGGUAAGGAGUGAAAAGCUAAUCGAACCCGGUAAUAGCUGGUUCUCUCCGAAAUAGCUUUAGGGCUAGCGUCAAGUACACCCGCACACCAACUUUGGCAUUGUGUUUUGUUGCAGAUUGAGCCAAAGCCGGUAAAUUAACAUCGACAUUCAAUGCAUCUGUGGCAAAGAUAACGAAAACACGGUGCAACGAUGCCAAGGUUGGUGUGCGGGUAAAUUGCUCUCGGGGGUAGAGCACUGAUAGGAAUGAAUAGGGGGAAACCUCGUCAUUCCUACCAAACUCCGAAUACCGAAGAGUUAUAGCUUGGCAGUUAGGCCGCGGGCGCCAAGGUCCGUUGGUCGAGAGGGGAACAACCCAGACCUCCAGCUAAGGUCCCAAAAUCCACGCUAAGUGCAUCAAAGGUGGUGAAGUUUCUCAGACAAUGAGGAGGUUGGCUUAGAAGCAGCCAUCCUUCAAAGAAAGCGUAACAGCUCACUCAUCAAGAGACUUUGCGCCUAAAAUAAUCGGGGCUCAAGUGUGGUACCGAAGCUGAGGCUGAGUUCUUGUUCGCAAGGACUCGGGGUAGGAGAGUAUUCCACACUGCGCUGAAGCGGAAGGGGUGACCCACCGUGGAGCGUGUGGAAGCAAGAAUGUUGGCACAAGUAACCGCAAGGCAGGUGAGAUCCCUGCCCGCCGAAAGACCAAGGUUUCCUUGGCAAUGUUGAUCAGCCAAGGGUUAGUCGGUCCUAAGCCGAUGGCGAAAGCCGCAGGCGAUGGAUACACGGUUAAUAUUCCGUGACCCGAUGUUAUUGCGACGGGAGGACGGAGGUUAGUAGUCCGGGCGGUUUAUCGGAUUACCGUUCUUGGCUUGAGGGUGUGGCAUAGGCAAAUCCGUGCCACGUCAGCCCAAGAGCAGAGGAAAGGGAGGCCUUCGGGUCUCUUGAUCCGGAUGAGCAACCUUCCAAGAAAAGUCUCUAAGCUUAAAUAACAUCGGACCGUACCCCAAACCGACACAGGUGGUCGGGUCGAGUAGACCAAGGCGAACGAGUGAAAGGUCCCCAAGGAACUCGGCAAACAAGCGGCCGUAACUUCGGGAUAAGGCCUUCCCUCCCCACUUUUGGUAUAAUUAUAGAGUAUGUAUAUUCUCUAUUUGAUCCAAAACAAUGUUACCCAUGAUAAAUAUCUCGGUAUCACGACAGAUCUGAAAAAAUCAAAACUAAUAACAGUAAAGGCAGUAAGUUUAAGAGCAAAAAGAUCGGUAAGUUGAUAUUAAUAUAUGCGGAAAUGUAUAGAUCAUCUACAGAUGCUUACCGUCGUGAAAGAGGAUCGAAAAAUCAUGGCAGUGCAAAAGUUGGAUUGAUCAAGCGGAUUAAUGAUAGUUUGCUUGAUGCCAAAAGUGGGGAGGGACGCAGCUAAAGUUUCUCCGGCAACUGUUUAUCAAAAACACAGCUCCCUGCGAACUCGCAAGAGGAUGUAUAGGGGGUGACGCCUGACCAAUGCCGGAAGGUUAAGUACUGAUGGUCUAAGGAAGUUUACUUUCUUAUGCUGGUCGGUAUAAGCCCCGGUGAAUGUCGGCCGUAACUAUAACGGUCCUAAGGUAGCGCAAUUCCUUGUCUGGUAAGUUCAGACGCGCACGAAGGGUGUAAUGACCGGAGAGCUGUCUCGGGGACUUGCUCGGUGAAAAUGCAAUGCCGGUACAAAUGCCGGCUACCUGCAGUUAGAAGAAAAGACCCCGUGAAGCUUUACUACAGCUUGAUAUUGGGGGUACGACUUAUUUGCGUAGCAUAGGUGGGAGACUUUGAAGUGUCGCUUUCGGGUGGCAUGGAGUCGCCAGUGAAAUACCACCCUCUUAGGUUGUAUUCUCUAACCUGGACGGCAAAAACGGACAGGGACAGUAUCUGGCGGGUAGUUUGAGUGGGGCGCUCUUCUCCUAAAAAGUAACGGAGAAGCCUAUUAAGGUCGGCUAGGCGCGAAUGGAAACCGUGCCGAUAGUGUAAUGGCACAAGCCGGCUUGACUGUGAGAGGGACAUCUCGAACAGGUGCGAAAGCAGAGCAUAGCGAUCCGACGGCCCGCAUUAGAUGCGGCCGGAGCUCAACGGAUAAAAGCUACUCCGGGGAUAACAGGCUGGUCCCGCCUAAGAGUCCAUAUCGACGGCGGGGUUCGGCACCUCGAUGUCGGCUCACCUUAUCCUGGGGGUGAAGAAGCUCCCAAGGGUUUGGCUGUUCGCCAAUUAAAAAGGUACGCGAGCUGGGUUCAGACCGUCGUGAGACAGGUCGGUCUCUAUCUACUGCAGGCGUCGAUUCUUGAGAAGCGCUGCUCCUAGUACGAGAGGACCGGAGUGGACUGACCUCUGGUGUAUCAGCUGUCGCGCCAGCGGCACUGCUGAGUAGCUAAGUCGGGAUUGGAUAACCUCUGAAGGCAUCUAAGAGGGAAGCCAGCUUCAAGAUUAGGAAUCAUUUGAGGCCCCUGGGAGACGACCAGGUUGAUAGGCUCUAGGUGUAAGCACGGUGACGUGUUCAGCCGAGGAGUACUAAUGGCCGAUUCCUGUUAG